UAAUACGAAGGGGGCUAGCGUUGUUCGGAUUUACUGGGCGUAAAGCGCACGUAGGCGGAUCGUUAAGUCGGGGGUGAAAUCCUGGAGCUCAACUCCAGAACUGCCUUCGAUACUGGCGAUCUUGAGUCCGGAAGAGGUGAGUGGAACUCCUAGUGUAGAGGUGGAAUUCGUAGAUAUUAGGAAGAACACCAGUGGCGAAGGCGGCUCACUGGUCCGGUACUGACGCUGAGGUGCGAAAGCGUGGGGAGCAAACAGG
RNAcentral lists this ribosomal RNA (256 nucleotides) under uncultured archaeon. RNAcentral's name for it is "partial 16S ribosomal RNA". It matches the Rfam family "Bacterial small subunit ribosomal RNA", at positions 521 to 776 of the family's 1533-position model. The record is from RNAcentral.